Molecule: ribosomal RNA, 468 nt
Filed under: uncultured bacterium
Lineage: Bacteria
Description: partial 16S ribosomal RNA
Rfam family: Bacterial small subunit ribosomal RNA
Source: RNAcentral
GACGAACGCUGGCGGCGUGCUUAACACAUGCAAGUCGAACGGAAAGGCCCUGCUUUUGUGGGGUGCUCGAGUGGCGAACGGGUGAGUAACACGUGAGUAACCUGCCCUUGACUUUGGGAUAACUUCAGGAAACUGGGGCUAAUACCGGAUAGCAGCUCCUGCUGCAUGGUGGGGGUUGGAAAGUUUCGGCGGUUGGGGAUGGACUCGCGGCUUAUCAGCUUGUUGGUGGGGUAGUGGCUUACCAAGGCUUUGACGGGUAGCCGGCCUGAGAGGGUGACCGGCCACAUUGGGACUGCGAUACGGCCCAGACUCCUACGGGAGGCAGCAGUGGGGAAUAUUGCACAAUGGGCGGAAGCCUGAUGCAGCAACGCCGCGUGCGGGAUGACGGCCUUCGGGUUGUAAACCGCUUUCGCCUGUGACGAAGCGUGAGUGACGGUAAUGGGUAAAGAAGCACCGGCUAACUACGUG